RNAcentral lists this ribosomal RNA (253 nucleotides) under uncultured bacterium. Its description in RNAcentral is "partial 16S ribosomal RNA". It matches the Rfam family "Bacterial small subunit ribosomal RNA", at positions 524 to 776 of the family's 1533-position model. The record is from RNAcentral.
GACAGAGGGUGCAAACGUUGUUCGGAAUCACUGGGCGUAAAGCGCGUGUAGGCGGCUAUGUAAGUCGGACGUGAAAUCCCACGGCUCAACCGUGGAAGUGCGCUCGAAACUGUGUAGCUUGAGUCCUGGAGAGGAAGACGGAAUACUUGGUGUAGAGGUGAAAUUCGUAGAUAUCAGGUAGAACACCAGUGGCGAAGGCGGUCUUCUGGACAGUGACUGACGCUGAGACGCGAAAGCGUGGGGAGCAAACAGG